This is a microRNA precursor of Nicotiana attenuata, 97 nucleotides long. It matches the Rfam family "MIR6152 microRNA precursor family". NCBI's taxonomy places the organism in Eukaryota, Viridiplantae, Streptophyta, Magnoliopsida, Solanales, Solanaceae. The record is from Rfam.
UAAACAGAUUAUUGUAUUCGACUGUAUUCAUGGCGUGAAACAGGAGAUUACAACUGUUUUUAACCGGAAAGUGAAUCAACUAAUAUAAUAGACUCCU